CCUAACUCAUGUUCUUUGUCUAAUGCUAAUACUUCUUUCAAAAGCUGUCCGAAAGCCUGUCUGUCAUCUAAGCCUCUGGGUGAAAGAUCGAGUGACCCAGCUUUCCUUUUUGCGUGUUGGCUCAUACUAUAUCAAACCAUUGAUUCAAUUCAAAAAAAGGCCUUUUUAAAACGCAACACGCGCGUUCAAAGUCUUGAGCAUUUAUAAAAGACGAUUGUAAGUAAUAAAAUAUCUCAAUAGAAUUAUGCGAAAAGUGGCA
Non-coding RNA from Schizosaccharomyces pombe (fission yeast), 259 nucleotides. The record is from the annotation of a GenBank genome assembly. NCBI's taxonomy places the organism in Eukaryota, Fungi, Ascomycota, Schizosaccharomycetes, Schizosaccharomycetales, Schizosaccharomycetaceae.